RNAcentral lists this ribosomal RNA (483 nucleotides) under uncultured bacterium. RNAcentral describes it as "partial 16S ribosomal RNA". It matches the Rfam family "Bacterial small subunit ribosomal RNA", at positions 30 to 507 of the family's 1533-position model. The record is from RNAcentral.
AUUGAACGCUGGCGGCAGGCCUAACACAUGCAAGUCGAGCGGAUGAAGGGAGCUUGCUCCUGGAUUCAGCGGCGGACGGGUGAGUAAUGCCUAGGAAUCUGCCUGGUAGUGGGGGAUAACGUCCGGAAACGGGCGCUAAUACCGCAUACGUCCUGAGGAGAAAGUGGGGGAUCUUCGGACCUCACGCUAUCAGAUGAGCCUAGGUCGGAUUAGCUAGUUGGUGGGGUAAAGGCCUACCAAGGCGACGAUCCGUAACUGGUCUGAGAGGGUGAUCAGUCACACUGGAACUGAGACACGGUCCAGACUCCUACGGGAGGCAGCAGUGGGGAAUAUUGGACAAUGGGCGAAAGCCUGAUCCAGCCAUGCCGCGUGUGUGAAGAAGGUCUUCGGAUUGUAAAGCACUUUAAGUUGGGAGGAAGGGCAGUAAGUUAAUACCUUGCUGUUUUGACGUUACCAACAGAAUAAGCACCGGCUAACUUCGUG